This 484-nucleotide ribosomal RNA is filed under the name uncultured bacterium. RNAcentral's name for it is "partial 16S ribosomal RNA". It matches the Rfam family "Bacterial small subunit ribosomal RNA", at positions 30 to 507 of the family's 1533-position model. The record is from RNAcentral.
AUUGAACGCUGGCGGCAGGCCUAACACAUGCAAGUCGAGCGGAUGAAGGGAGCUUGCUCCCGGAUUCAGUGGGGGACGGGCGGGUGAUGACUAGGUAUCUGACUGACAGCGGGGGCUAGGGUCAGGACAGGGGCGCUGAUACAGUAUCAGUUCAGAGGGAGAAAGGGGGGGAGCUAUGGACAUAACGGUAUUAGAUGAGUCUAGGAGGGAUUAGCUAGUUGGUGUGGUAAAGUCAUACAAAGGCGACGAUGCGUAGCUGGGCUGAGAGGAUGAUCAGCCACACUGGAACUGAGACACGGUCCAGACUCCUACGGGAGGCAGCAGUGGGGAAUAUUGGACAAUGGGCGAAAGCCUGAUCCAGCCAUGCCGCGUGUGUGAAGAAGGUCUUCGGAUUGUAAAGCACUUUUAGUAGGGAAGAACAGCAGUAUGUUAAUACCUUGCUGUUUUGACGGUACCAAAAGAAUAAGCACCGGCUAACUUCGUG